This 504-nucleotide ribosomal RNA is filed under the name uncultured bacterium. RNAcentral's name for it is "partial 16S ribosomal RNA". It matches the Rfam family "Bacterial small subunit ribosomal RNA", at positions 28 to 523 of the family's 1533-position model. The record is from RNAcentral.
GAUAAACGCUAGCGGCAGGCUUAACACAUGCAAGUCGAGGGGCAGCAUAGAUCGUAGCAAUACAAUUGGUGGCGACCGGCGCACGGGUGCGUAACGCGUAUGCAACCUACCCGUCACAGGGGGAUAAUCCGGAGAAAUCUGGUCUAAUACCCCAUAACAUAUGGAUCGGCAUCGGUUCAUGUUGAAAUUUUCGGAGGUGACGGAUGGGCAUGCGUAGCAUUAGCUUGUUGGUGAGGUAACGGCUCACCAAGGCGACGAUGCUUAGGGGGACUGAGAGGUUUUCCCCCCAGACAGGUACUGAGACACGGACCAGACUCCUACGGGAGGAAGCAGUGUGGAAUAUUGGUCAAUGGGCGCAAGCUUUAACCAGCCAUGCCGCGUGCAGGAUGACGGCUCUAUGAGUUGUAAACUGCUUUUGUACCAGGGUAAAGUGGGUUACGUGUAACCUUUUGAAAGUAUCGUACGAAUAAGGAUCGGCUAACUCCGUGCCAGCAGCCGCCGUAA